UACGUAGGGUGCGAGCGUUAUCCGGAAUUAUUGGGCGUAAAGAGCUCGUAGGCGGUUUGUCACGUCUGCUGUGAAAGCCCGGGGCUUAACCCCGGGUGUGCAGUGGGUACGGGCUGACUGGAGUGCAGUAGGGGAGACUGGAAUUCCUGGUGUAGCGGUGGAAUGCGCAGAUAUCAGGAGGAACACCGAUGGCGAAGGCAGGUCUCUGGGCUGUUACUGACGCUGAGGAGCGAAAGCAUGGGGAGCGAACAGG
This 253-nucleotide ribosomal RNA is filed under the name uncultured bacterium. Its description in RNAcentral is "partial 16S ribosomal RNA". It matches the Rfam family "Bacterial small subunit ribosomal RNA", at positions 524 to 776 of the family's 1533-position model. The record is from RNAcentral.